CGGGUGAGUAAUGCUUGGGAAUCUGGCUUAUGGAGGGGGAUAACUACGGGAAACUGUAGCUAAUACCGCGUAGUGUCGAGAGACGAAAGUGCGGGACCGAAAGGCCGCAUGCCAUGAGAUGAGCCCAAGUGGGAUUAGGUAGUUGGUGGGGUAAAGGCCUACCAAGCCUGCGAUCUCUAGCUGGUCUGAGAGGAUGGCCAGCCACACUGGAACUGAGACACGGUCCAG
Molecule: ribosomal RNA, 228 nt
Filed under: uncultured bacterium
Lineage: Bacteria
Description: partial 16S ribosomal RNA
Rfam family: Bacterial small subunit ribosomal RNA
Source: RNAcentral